Molecule: long non-coding RNA, 223 nt
Filed under: Theobroma cacao (cacao)
Lineage: Eukaryota; Viridiplantae; Streptophyta; Magnoliopsida; Malvales; Malvaceae
Description: long non-coding RNA (TCAC_LNC001280)
Source: RNAcentral
UGCAUAGCUAAUACCAUCGUGUGCAUCCCCCACAUCACGCACAUGCAAUAUCAUCAUCAACACUCUCGCACCCGUCAUCACCGGCAUGUGCUCCCCCCACAUCGCGACAUGCACAACUAUAUUUAUUACACAAUAUCACCUCUUAAUGCACAACACAUAUAUGUUUAUAUCAACAUAAUAAAGGAGUACAUGGAUUCAUCACAGUCACAUUUCAUAACACAAC